Molecule: long non-coding RNA, 300 nt
Organism: Neltuma alba
Lineage: Eukaryota; Viridiplantae; Streptophyta; Magnoliopsida; Fabales; Fabaceae
Exons: 3
Source: RefSeq, a predicted model, not a curated record
UAAGGUUGGAAAAGGAAGGCACCUCGAUUUUGCCGCUGGCGCGCUUCACUGGUUUCUGAGAGCCAACGGCUUGAUACUGAUCACUCAGGCUUUUGUUCUCAUCACCGGAGAGUGCUUCAGGGACUUGGGAACAGAGACCCUGGUAACAUUAGCGUAAUUUAAUUGACUAUGGCUGUAAAUGAACAUACCGAACGAGAAUAUGUGCCUCAGAAAGAGAAGCAAUCUUCAGAGGAAGAGAAGAGGAAGAAGAAAAUUGUACCUGGGAGUUUGAUGAAAGCUGUAGUGAGGCCUGGAGGGGGG